UGAGGAAUAUUGGUCAAUGGUCGAGAGACUGAACCAGCCAAGUCGCGUGAAGGAUGACUGCCCUAUGGGUUGUAAACUUCUUUUACAAGGGAAUAAAAUGAGAUACGUGUAUUUUAUUGCAUGUACCUUGGGACUAAGCAUCGGCUAACUCCGUGCCAGCAGCCGCGGUAAUACGGAGGAUGCGAGCGUUAUCCGGAUUUAUUGGGUUUAAAGGGUGCGUAGGUGGGCUGUUAAGUCAGCGGUGAAAGUUUGUCGCUUAACGAUAAAAUUGCCGUUGAAACUGGUAGUCUUGAGUAUAGAUGAAGUAGGCGGAAUGCGUGGUGUAGCGGUGAAAUGCAUAGAGAUCACGCAGAACUCCGAUUGCGAAGGCAGCUUACUAAGGUAUAACUGACACUGAAGCACGAAAGCGUGGGUAUCAAACAGG
RNAcentral lists this ribosomal RNA (424 nucleotides) under Fusobacteriota bacterium. Its description in RNAcentral is "Fusobacteria bacterium partial 16S ribosomal RNA". It matches the Rfam family "Bacterial small subunit ribosomal RNA", at positions 355 to 776 of the family's 1533-position model. Lineage: Bacteria; Fusobacteriati; Fusobacteriota. The record is from RNAcentral.